CAUCAGCAUCAAGAGCAAGAUUAAAUUCUUCUCCAACCUGCCCACUCCGGUAAGGUGGAAAAACGAUGCGGCAUUCUGCAAUACAAGGAGGAAGAAUGGAAAAAAGAGUAUUUUGUC
This 117-nucleotide non-coding RNA is filed under the name unclassified sequences. RNAcentral's name for it is "SAM-I-IV sequence". The stretch from base 1 to 95 matches the Rfam family "SAM-I/IV (S-adenosyl methionine) riboswitch aptamer". From Rfam's summary of the family: It is found upstream of a number of genes which code for proteins involved in methionine or cysteine biosynthesis. It has been found mostly in the order Actinomycetales. The record is from Rfam by way of RNAcentral.